GUUGUUCGGAUUCACUGGGCGUAAAGCGCACGUAGGCGGACUUGUUAGUCAGAGGUGAAAUCUCACUGCUCAACAGUGAAACUGCCUUUGAUACUGCAGGUCUUGAAUCCAGAAGAGAGUUGUGGAAUUCCGAGUGUAGCAGUGAAAUGUGUAGAUAUUCGGAAGAACACCAGCGGCGAAGGCAGCAACUUGGUCUGGUAUUGACGCUCAGGCACGAAAGCAUGGGGAUCAAACAGG
Molecule: ribosomal RNA, 237 nt
Filed under: uncultured prokaryote
Description: partial 16S ribosomal RNA
Rfam family: Bacterial small subunit ribosomal RNA
Source: RNAcentral